This is a long non-coding RNA of Cyanistes caeruleus (blue tit), 808 nucleotides long. RefSeq lists it as uncharacterized. The record is from RefSeq and is a predicted model, not a curated record. Lineage: Eukaryota; Metazoa; Chordata; Aves; Passeriformes; Paridae.
UCGAGUUUUGUCGCAACAUAACUAAGCAAAUACCGCUAUCCAGAUAUGAAACUCAUCCUUGGAAACCCCACUAACAUCCUCCUUCUUCCCCUUCACACAGCUCCUGGCUGGUGACCACACAGCCAGUUUCACCCACAGUGAAACCCCAAUAACUGGUUUCUUCCCUCAUGUAACAACUCCUAAAAGGCCACUGCAAAUCCUUUCAACAAAAGCUGAGGACAUUUGUAGACAGACCGAUAUUAACUCCUUCCUGGGAACACUGUGUUUGCACCAUCACCUUGCAAGGAAAAGCAUGUUCCACCUGAUCUCCUCCUGCCCUGGAUCCCAUGCUCCAGGACUGGCUCCUCAGCAAAGUCUCUUUAGUUCCAGACCAGCUUAGUGCCAGGUGUUGGGCAAGUCACACCAGCCCGAGUUUCUGUCCCUUGUGGCACAGCAGCCUCAAACCAUAAUCCUGCAGCAUGUGGGGCAACAGGAGCCCCACAGCAGCUUGGACACGUGGCUUGCACCACUCAGGACAGGCUUGUUGGGUUUUUUCUCUUCAAAGGAAAAGGAAACGACACAAAAGAGUCUCCUUUGCCUCCAUCAAGCACUCAGGGUAAAGCCCACGAGCAAUCCCAAACCCCAGAUGGGGUGCAUGCCACAUCCUCACUGGCACCUCCCUGUACCUGAGACGAUGGAUCCAUCCCCUGGCAAGACUGAAAUGUCUAAGUAGCAAGUCUCAUUUUCAGUUGCUCAUAAAUUUACCAAGGGUUAACUGAUCAGCCCUAAUUUUCCUUGGCAAAUACAUCAGCUGGACUGGAUAUAUUGA